RNAcentral lists this ribosomal RNA (497 nucleotides) under uncultured bacterium. Its description in RNAcentral is "partial 16S ribosomal RNA". It matches the Rfam family "Bacterial small subunit ribosomal RNA", at positions 28 to 507 of the family's 1533-position model. The record is from RNAcentral.
GAUGAACGCUGGCGGCGUGUCUAAUACAUGCAAGUCGAGCGAACUGACGAGAAGCUUGCUUCUCUGAUGUUAGCGGCGGACGGGUGAGUAACACGUGGAUAACCUACCUAUAAGACUGGGAUAACUUCGGGAAACCGUAGCUAAUACCGGAUAAUAUUUUGAACCGCAUGGUUCAAUAGUGAAAGACGGUCUUGCUGUCACUUAUAGAUGGAUCCGCGCUGCAUUAGCUAGUUGGUAAGGUAACGGCUUACCAAGGCAACGAUGCAUAGCCGACCUGAGAGGGUGAUCGGCCACACUGGAACUGAGACACGGUCCAGACUCCUACGGGAGGCAGCAGUAGGGAAUCUUCCGCAAUGGGCGAAAGCCUGACGGAGCAAAGCCGCGUGAGUGAUGAAGGUAUUCGGAUCGUAAAACUCUGUUAUUAGGGAAGAACAAAUGUGUAAGUAACUGUGCACAUCUUGACGGUACCUAAUCAGAAAGCCACGGCUAACUACGUG